GACGAACGCUGGCGGCGGGCUUAACACAUGCAAGUCGAACGGAAAGGCCCUGCUUUUGUGGGGUGCUCGAGUGGCGAACGGGUGAGUAACACGUGAGUAACCUGCCCUUGUCUUUGGGAUAACUUCAGGAAACUGGGGCUAAUACCGGAUAGGAUCUCCUGCUGCAUGGUGGGGGUUGGAUAGUUUCGGCGGUUGGGGAUGGACUCGCGGCUUAUCAGCUUGUUGGUGGGGUGGUGGCUUACCAAGGCUUUGACGGGUAGCCGGCCGGGGAGGGUGACCGGCGACAUUGGGACUGAGAUACGGCACAGACGCGUACGGGAGGCAGCAGUGGGGAAGAUUGAACAAGGGGCGGAAGCCUGAUGAAGAAAGGCCGCGUGCGGGAUGACGGCCUUCGGGUUGUAAACAGGUUGCGCCUGUGACGAAGGGUGAGUGACGGUAAUGGGUAAAGAAGCACCGGCUAACUACGUG
RNAcentral lists this ribosomal RNA (468 nucleotides) under uncultured bacterium. Its description in RNAcentral is "partial 16S ribosomal RNA". It matches the Rfam family "Bacterial small subunit ribosomal RNA", at positions 28 to 507 of the family's 1533-position model. The record is from RNAcentral.